AUGGGGAGAACAUGUGUUUAUGUUCAUCAUGUGGAUAAAGAGGCCUUUUUGAAAGGCAAUGUUGAGCCGGACCCGGAUGAGCUUGACAUGGUGUUUGAGAGUAGUCCAAGCUAUGCGGAGCUCUUGGACCAAGUGAGGAAGGAUUUGAAUUGGAUGGACCCAAGUGACGUUGUUGAGUUCGUGGGAAGGCAUAAUGUUGGUUUUGGAAUGCACAUCCGUUGGAAGACAAUGUGUGUGAACUGCGAGCAACGUUGGGUUGCAUACAAGGAGACGGUUGCCGAAUCUCUAGACAAGGCUCUUGAGUUAUUUGCCUCCAAGAAGGUUGAGUCUACUUUGAAUUUGGACUUGAACCGGAACCCCUCCCCGUUGGUUGCUAGCACUCCACCACCCAUGAACCAAGAUCAAAUGAGUGAACCUCAUUUCACGCAACAAGAUUGGCCAACAUUGAGCCCGACUCCAAACAACCAAAAUGAAGGUUUUGAAGAGGAGAAUGAUGAGUACGAGGAGGAUGACAACGAAGUUGAUCUCCAUGACAACAAUGUGGGUGAUCUCGACCAAUAUCAUGUGCAAGAGACAAUGGACCAAUCCAUCCCUUUUUCCCAUGCAUAUGCAUCGGACUCGGAUGACGAUGGUCCUGAUGAAGAAGUUGAUGAGGAGGGGUUCACACCGAAGGAGGCCCAAGCAUUCAAGAAGGUAUUCGGGCGGGAUCACAAGACACCAUUGUUCAAGGAUCUUAGUCUCGCGGAUGAAGCCGUUGUGGAUGGUGGCAAAUGCAUAUCUCUUGGAGCUAGGCCAAGUUCUCACCGUGAUUUGGAAGACGGCAAGAACGGGAUAUAUCCCGGUUGUGAGUUUCAAUCCUUCUUGGAAUUGAAGAUGUGGCUCGACAACUACUCGGUUACGCAUUAUCGUCCACAUAAAGUGGCCAAAUCGGACGUCAAUGUGCGUUACACGGUCAAAUGUGAAGUGCCAAGUUGUCCAUGGAUUGUGCGUGCAAGGCCAUGGAAAGGAGGUCCCACUUGGCGCAUAGUGAGUUGUCUACCAAAUCACAUGUGCCGACACAAGAAUGCGGAUGGCAAGCUUGUGUACCAACAACACAGACAACUCACGUCCGAGUUCAUCGCUUAUAGGCUUUCCAACCAAAUAUCCACACUUCCAACAAUGAGCAUCAAGAGUGUCAUUGACCUUGUGAAAGCCAUCUUUCAUUACAAGGUGAAGUACGGCAAGGCAUGGAAGGCAAAGCAAGCCGCAUUCAAGAUGUUGUAUGGCAAUUGGGAGGAAGCAUACAACCGACUCCCUAGGUUGUUGUUAGCUAUGGCCACUACAAACCCAGGCAUGGUUCACGUGGUUGAGCCUCAUGGGCACCAAACAUUGAUUCACAACGGGAGGACCGUCCGAGUAUUUGGCCGUGCAUUUUGGGCCUUUGAGCAAUGCAUGAGGACUUUUGAGCAUUGUCGGUCCGUCAUCGCCAUUGAUGGCACGUUCUUGACCGGACAAUACAAGGGCACUUUAUUGGUUGCAAUAGCAAGUGAUGCCAAUAACCGGGUGUUGCCUUUGGCUUUCGCUUUGGUUGAGGUGGAGAACAAUGAUAACUGGGAGUGGUUCUUGCGUCAAUUGAGAACAAGGGUAUUACCGGCUGAAAGGGAAAUUUGUGUCAUAUCGGAUCGCCAUCCAGGAAUUCUCAAUGCGGUGGUGGUUGACAUUCCCGGACAUAGAAAGUUGCACCAUCAAUGGUGCAUGAGGCACUUUUGUGCAAACUUCUAUAGGGCAUGUGGUAUCAAGGAGUUGGCCGAUGAUCUUCAAGAUUGUUGUCUCGCUUUCACCAACAAGCGGUUUGCCACAUUGUUCAAUGCAUUGCUCAGACACAAGAAACUUGACCCCGGUGGUCAUGAAUUUCUCAGUAAGAACAUUGUCGAAAGGAAUUAUCGGUUUGGUGUUAGGGUUAUGCUAUGGUUAGGAUUGUGUUAUUGUUAA
This 1971-nucleotide ribosomal RNA is filed under the name Triticum aestivum (bread wheat). RNAcentral describes it as "partial small subunit ribosomal RNA". Lineage: Eukaryota; Viridiplantae; Streptophyta; Magnoliopsida; Poales; Poaceae. The record is from RNAcentral.